GUAAACUUUAACCCCUAAGGUCCCAGGGCGCUGAAACAAUCUGGGCAGGAGAGAAGGUCACGGACAUCUUCUGCGGUCUAAAAACGCGGAAAGGCUGCGAAGUCGCUUUCAGGCGCUGAGCGGAGAGCUUCAGAGAAGAGGCAGAAGUGUGCAAACAGGAGCAGGUCCAAGAUUUGCAUGGCCAGAAGCAAUUCUUGAUCCUCUUGGCUAGAUUCGAAGAUUUGGCCACCUCCAGACGCUACCACACUCUGGGACAGUGGGAGAUUUGGAACAGCUUUGAGAAGAGCAAGGUGAGCUGGGACUUCCUGGAGCAGGCUGCCCAGGAAAAGCCAUUCCAUGGCAGAACUUGCGAGGGUGAGGUCGAGGGUUAAGGGAUAAGCGGGCAGAGGGUAGAAAUCCAAUUGGGCUAUUCCUAAAGCAUCCCCAGUCGCUUGGUUUUCCACUCUUCACCGAUGCUGCACUAAUGCCACGUAGGUCCAUCCCCGCAUAUGACACCAGGGAUUUUAUUCUGACCUCACAAGAUCCCAGGAUGAUGGCUCACAAAGGGCUUCCCUGGU
This 557-nucleotide long non-coding RNA is filed under the name Homo sapiens (human). RNAcentral's name for it is "non-protein coding lnc-NUTM2G-6:10". Lineage: Eukaryota; Metazoa; Chordata; Mammalia; Primates; Hominidae. The record is from RNAcentral.